RNAcentral lists this long non-coding RNA (465 nucleotides) under Capsicum annuum. RNAcentral describes it as "long non-coding RNA (CANN_LNC021284)". The record is from RNAcentral. Lineage: Eukaryota; Viridiplantae; Streptophyta; Magnoliopsida; Solanales; Solanaceae.
CGCAUCGAAAUCAUGGUCUAUAUUGUAGCCCGAAUUACGGGGCAUUACAUAUACUCUAUAGAACUCAGUCAGUUAUGUAACUCAUGAAACAUCAGAAAUCUCAUGAUCUCAGUUAACUCUCAGAUAAUAGUACUACUUCGUCAGUCAACAGAUGUUAGUUAUUCAGUCCAUGUACAGCCAGUUGAAUCAUGUUCAGUCCCUUUAGAUGGGAGUAGAAGUUAGCACUGAAUGAACCCAAGGAUGGGAGCUCACCUGCCAGUUCAAGGUGUGAUUCUUAGCAGUCAUCCUUGUGUUCCAGAACUACGUAGCCACCGUAGGUUGAGACGUCUUAACCUGUCAGAUUAGGGUUGAUGGGGUGACUUAACCUGUCAGUUUAAGGUCCCACCGUUCUUACUUUGAGUACCUGCCAGAUAAAGGUCACUCACAACUAUCCUUACCAGUGGCACAGUAUUGACACCCCUCCAG